RNAcentral lists this ribosomal RNA (253 nucleotides) under uncultured bacterium. RNAcentral describes it as "partial 16S ribosomal RNA". It matches the Rfam family "Bacterial small subunit ribosomal RNA", at positions 524 to 776 of the family's 1533-position model. The record is from RNAcentral.
UACGAAGGGGGCUAGCGUUGUUCGGAAUCACUGGGCGUAAAGCGCACGUAGGCGGACAUUUAAGUCAGGGGUGAAAUCCCGAGGCUCAACCUCGGAACUGCCUUUGAUACUGGGUGUCUUGAGUAUGGUAGAGGUUGGUGGAACUGCGAGUGUAGAGGUGAAAUUCGUAGAUAUUCGCAAGAACACCAGUGGCGAAGGCGGCUCACUGGCCCGAUACUGACGCUGAGGUGCGAAAGCGUGGGGAGCAAACAGG